This 492-nucleotide ribosomal RNA is filed under the name uncultured bacterium. RNAcentral describes it as "partial 16S ribosomal RNA". It matches the Rfam family "Bacterial small subunit ribosomal RNA", at positions 29 to 507 of the family's 1533-position model. The record is from RNAcentral.
AGUGAACGCUGGCGGUAGGCCUAACGCAUGCAAGUCGAACGGCAGCACAGUAAGAGCUUGCUCUUACGGGUGGCGAGUGGCGGACGGGUGAGGAAUACAUCGGAAUCUACUUUUUCGUGGGGGAUAACGGAGGGAAACUUACGCUAAUACCGCAUACGACCUACGGGUGAAAGCAGGGGAUCUUCGGACCUUGCGCGAUUGAAUGAGCCGAUGCCGGAUUAGCUAGUUGGCGGGGUAAAGGCCCACCAAGGCGACGAUCCGUAGCUGGUCUGAGAGGAUGAUCGGCCACACUGGAACUGAGACACGGUCCAGACUCCUACGGGAGGCAGCAGUGGGGAAUAUUGGACAAUGGGCGCAAGCCUGAUGCAGCAAUACCGCGUGGGUGAAGAAGGCCUUCGGGUUGUAAAGCCCUUUUGUUGGGAAAGAAAAGCAGCGGGUUAAUACCCCGCUGUUCUGACGGUACCCAAAGAGUAAGCACCGGCUAACUUCGUG